RNAcentral lists this ribosomal RNA (253 nucleotides) under uncultured bacterium. Its description in RNAcentral is "partial 16S ribosomal RNA". It matches the Rfam family "Bacterial small subunit ribosomal RNA", at positions 524 to 776 of the family's 1533-position model. The record is from RNAcentral.
UACAGAGGGGGCAAGCGUUGUUCGGAAUUACUGGGCGUAAAGGGCGCGUAGGCGGCCUGUUAAGUCGAACGUGAAAUCCCCGGGCUCAACCCGGGAACUGCGUCCGAUACUGGCAGGCUUGAAUUCGGGAGAGGGAUGCGGAAUUCCAGGUGUAGCGGUGAAAUGCGUAGAUAUCUGGAGGAACACCGGUGGCGAAGGCGGCAUCCUGGACCGAUAUUGACGCUGAGGCGCGAAAGCCAGGGGAGCAAACGGG